AGCCUCGUGGUGUAAAAAGCUCAUCGAAUUGCAAAUUCGAAGGCGCAGGUUAGAAUCUGCCGGGGCUU
This 68-nucleotide transfer RNA is filed under the name Hyphessobrycon pulchripinnis. RNAcentral describes it as "tRNA-Cys". It matches the Rfam family "tRNA". From Rfam's summary of the family: Transfer RNA (tRNA) molecules are approximately 80 nucleotides in length. Their secondary structure includes four short double-helical elements and three loops (D, anti-codon, and T loops). Lineage: Eukaryota; Metazoa; Chordata; Actinopteri; Characiformes; Acestrorhamphidae. The record is from RNAcentral.